UUAACCAAAACGCUGAAACUACAAUAAAUUUAUUCAAUAAAGAACAAUUUUAUCCGUCGAAUGUAACCAAUAUAUAAUGAUUAAGUCUUAUAACAAAAAAAAAACUUUUUCUUCAUAAUAAAAAGUAAUUUGAAAUUAUCGUUAAGAGCCUUGACAAUAAGCUAUGGAUGAAGAUCAAUUAUUGGUUACGUCAUUUUAACAUUCCCACAGUAGCUUGGUUAAUGAUUGAAUUUUUACAAAUAAUGUGUUGUCAGCAAGAUUUAACGGUAAUCAUGGCAUAAUUCAAUUAAUAGGGAGUUAAAAUACGGAUUUAGAAUUUCAAAGUAAUAUGUACAUUUGAUUUUCAAAUUUAGAAAUAAAUAUACUGACCAUGC
This is a long non-coding RNA of Daktulosphaira vitifoliae (grape phylloxera), 374 nucleotides long. RefSeq lists it as uncharacterized. The record is from RefSeq and is a predicted model, not a curated record. The transcript is spliced from 3 exons. NCBI's taxonomy places the organism in Eukaryota, Metazoa, Arthropoda, Insecta, Hemiptera, Phylloxeridae.